This 253-nucleotide ribosomal RNA is filed under the name uncultured bacterium. Its description in RNAcentral is "partial 16S ribosomal RNA". It matches the Rfam family "Bacterial small subunit ribosomal RNA", at positions 524 to 776 of the family's 1533-position model. The record is from RNAcentral.
UACGGAGGGGGCUAGCGUUGUUCGGAAUUACUGGGCGUAAAGCGCACGUAGGCGGCUUUGUAAGUUAGAGGUGAAAGCCCGGGGCUCAACUCCGGAAUUGCCUUUAAGACUGCAUCGCUAGAGUUGUGGAGAGGUAAGUGGAAUUCCGAGUGUAGAGGUGAAAUUCGUAGAUAUUCGGAAGAACACCAGUGGCGAAGGCGACUUACUGGACACACACUGACGCUGAGGUGCGAAAGCGUGGGGAGCAAACAGG